GUUCCCAUGGUGGGGGCUCCCGAGAGGAUUCUCUGCAGGCCCCAGAUGGGCAGAGGACACAGCCACCCUGUCCCCUGCAGGCCAGGCUAGGCCCGCCAGGGGGACAUGUGACAACUGGACCCCAUGAUCUGCGACAGGGGCACAGCUGUCAGGUUCCUUCCCCGUGUGCUGCAGGUCUCCUUGAACUUCCUCUUUUACUGUACGACACCCGGGAUGGGACACUCAGCUCUGUCCCCCAUUUCCAGGCACAGAAACAAAACUCCAGACAUUUACGCUCUCCAGGGCUUUAGGAGGGCGCAGAUAACUUUCCUGAAGAUUUGGGCUUCUCUGAACCCUUUAUCUUCCACAGACCAAAGCCCUCUCCAUCUCUGAGUAGCUCUCCCUUCCUGGAGCUGGCCUCUUCCACUGAGGGAGCAGAAUGUGGGGGUCAUUGCGACUUCUCCGAGAACCUUCGCCUUUGCCAAAGAAAGCUCCCUUACGACAUACCAGCUGCUCAGAAAACAAAAAUUACCUCAAACUCAUGGCAUUGGCAUAACAGACCGAAGGCCUCUCAAAACCGACCCGGGCUGAGUCAAAUAAGACUAUGAAGCUUUCUCUAAAUGAAUAACGUGGCUUCCAUUUUAGGGCGGAAGAAGGAAAAGUACUUUGAAAAGACUAAACUUCACAUUUUGCAACAUAAAACACUCUCCCAAGGAGACAGAACUUUCAGUGAAAGAACAUCCGGCGCUGAGGAGAAUACUGAUGUUCAGAGAAGUUCAAUUGCUUUUCUAUGGUCCAUGACUGGCUGAGGGCAUGGACAGGGCCAAAUUCCAGUCCAGGGCUCUUUCUUUUAAUGACCCCAGAAGCCAAGAGGGAAUCAGUUAUAUAGACUUUGAAAUUAAUGAAUUUAAAAAUUCCUUGGAUGGGAAGAUUAAAGAAAACAAAGUCAUGAAGGAUUAGCAGUGAAGGGAAGUGAGCAUCAGUGGUGUUGGAUUCUAUUUGGCUGACCUUGGAGUAAGGAGUAGGAAAGUUCGGG
Molecule: long non-coding RNA, 1015 nt
Organism: Heterocephalus glaber (naked mole-rat)
Lineage: Eukaryota; Metazoa; Chordata; Mammalia; Rodentia; Bathyergidae
Source: Ensembl